UGUAUGGAUGCAUGGUUAUGGAUGGAUGUAGUAGUGUUUAGGGGAAGAGAAUGGUGCGGCAAAGGUGUGGAGAGAGCUUGGACGAAUUUCUGGAGUGAAUUCUGAAUUGUGGUGAGUGGUGAUCUGAUUUAGGGGUUAAUAGGAGUAUAUAUAGGCACUUAAAACCCUAGGGUAAUCAGAUAUGGACUUGGAUAACCCAAAUCCACAAGGAAAUAGGUCUAACAAUCAGAUUUUGCAAGGGAAAAGGGGUCCUAGGUGCGGCUGGAUAGGGAUAAGGUGGAUAAGGCUUCUAGAUGGCCUUGCAAGGCAAGGAAAUCAGGUUUCUAGAAGGGAUAGGUGCGGCACUUAAAGGAUAGGGCAGAUUAGGGCUUUUAGAAACCCUCUAAUGCAAGGAAAACUCACGGCAAGGAUGGAUAAGGUUUCUAGAACAAGGAUAAGGUAUCCUAAAUGGAUAAGGACUCCUCAUUGCACUUGGAAACUUUGCCUAUUAGGAUUAGGAAACCUUGUCUUUGUCAUUCCUUCUUCAUUCUGGAUUCCUUUUCCUUCUUGGACUUGGAAAUCUUCUUUGUAGCUGCAACUUGAUGCCAUUUGGAUUUAACUUUCCUACUUCAAGUAGGAAACCUUGUUUGAGUAGGAAUCUUCAUCUUUCAGGGAAUCCUAAUUCAACUAGGAAACCCAUUUGACUAGGAAUCCUAAUUCAACUAGGAUUCCAUCUUCACUUAGGUGCUUUCCUACUUCGACUAGGAAACCUUGUUCAAGUAGGAAACAUCAUCUUCAAAUCUUCAAUUUCGUCCAUCCUCUUGGCUCCAAGCAUAUGACAUCCAUUCCAAGCUCAACUUUGCUCCAAAAAGCUCCAAAAUGCAUCAUUUUUCAUAUUUUGCCCUUAGAACCUGAAAACACAUAAAACUAGCUUAAAAGACUACUUUACUAAGCAAAAACACUAUAAAUGCACAAGAACAAGCUAAACUAAGGCGCAUAAAUAUGCUCCUAUCAAAUUCCCCCACACUUAGCUUUUGCUAGUCCUCGAGCAAAACGAAACGAAACAAAAGAACAAAACGAAAUAAAACAAGUAAAACAACCUAAACCUUCCAACAAUCGCCUCAGAGAUUUCCAAUGCACAUGACAUGUUAAAAAUCAUCAUUCCCACAGAUUUUAGCCAUCUUUACACUUCAAGCCCAUACUUAAUCAUAGUCACUACUUACUAGUUCACAUUUAACCAAUUAAAACAAUGUUUUGAAUGUAGUAACAUGCCUUAGAGAAUCCCUCAAUUCCUUACUAGAUAUGCACUCUAUUUUCACUCAGAUUGUCUAACUACACACCCUACACUAGUUAUAUGUGAGAAGAUUGAUGUAAAAAUAAAAACGAAUGCUCACAUAUAUGUAUAACAAAGAAAGCAAUUUCCGGAGUUAAUAACAUGUUUAUAAAUAUGAUCUCAUGAAUGGAAUGCUACUACUUAGAUGCGAGAAUCAAUGACACCAUAUGCUCAAACCAAUUUCAAACUCCACAAAUUGAAACACACAACACUCAAGAUUAAAGUCAAGGGUUGUAACGGGGCUCAAGGUAUUGGCUAACAAAAACGGAUAUGGAAAACAAACGUUCUUUAAAACAAUAGUAGGCAAAGUAUGGAAAUCGAAACUUAGAAUUCUCUUUAGCAUGCCGAAAUCAAAUUCAAAACAGAAGGGAAGACUCAAACAAUCAAUUAGGGCCGAAUGCAACUCUUUGGACCCUUUCUUCAACAAACAACACUUUGGAACGCUUUUUCACAUGCUCAUCAACUAUUUUGCAUGUUUUUCACAUUUUUUUUUCUUUCUUUUCUCAUUUUUUUUUCACUUCUUUGCCGUGCCUCAUUCAAGACUUUGGCACAUCCCUAUAUCAUUAAUCCUUCCCCCACACUUGUUUCCCGCACACAUUGAUCAAAAGGAAUUCAUCUUCCGUUAUGCUUUACUACGUUUUAAGAACAAGGGUGUGGAUGGUCCUAAUCUAGGCUAGGUGAGGAUAAUGUGGUUAACAAAGAACAUAGGCUAAACAAGGCUCAACGGGGUUGAAACCUACAAAACAUAAUGGAAUAGGGAUAUACGGCUUUUGGGCUAUGGUGGACACUACACAACUUAAUCUUGAAUAUGUGUUAUGCAAAUCAAUGACAUGUUUUGAAUGAAAUGGGCAUGAGUUCUAGUGUUUGGUUCUAAGUGAUGAAACGCCUUCUAAGUAGCAACCAAGCAAAGAAUAAUGAGAUCAUGCAACGACUUUAGAAAACAAAGAAUGCACAGAUUUUAACUCUCCAAAUAAACGUUUAGGCUCAAGUCUCACAAGGUUGUAGCGUUAGUUUGAGUUACUUCCUUCAAGCAUGUUACAAAAACGGAUUUUUUACUUUAUGAUUACAUGUGAAUUCAUAAGUUAUAACCACAACCAAGCAUAAACCAAAGAGUAAAUCAAACUUUUAUCCAUGUUUAUAACUCUCUUUAACCGUCAUGCAAUUACAAACCGAAUCCUCAUCAUUGUGUUGGAAGGUAACCUAAGACACAAACAAACACACAAAAACGACUCUUUUUGGGUUUUUUUAAAACAAAUUUUUCAAAUUUUUAUGGGAUUUUCGGAUUUUUGACUCAAAACACAUUAAAACACACCAAAACAGCUUAAAAAGGCUUAAAAACAGCAAGAAACAACAUUUGAAAUUAUGGGUGACAAAACCCUACGAAUUUGCAUCAAAAAACUUUGGUUACCCCCCCACACUUAAAUCAAACAUUGUCCUCAAUGUUUCAAGCAUAGACUCACAUAAAUAACAAACAAACAAACAAAACAACAUCUAAACAACCUAACAUAGCAUAAACGAAUUGAACAACAAAGAGAAGAGUUUAGGAACGCAAAUCUGGAAUUGGAGUGCUCUCUAUGUCCUCCUUUGUUGAAUGCAUGGGUUGCCUCCCAAGUAGCGCUUGCUUUAACGUCGUACAGCCGGACGAAGACCUCAUUCACUCCUUACUAGGGCCCACGGCAGCCAAGGGUAUGUCAUCCACAGCAUGCUCCACAAAGGUGUCAUAAUAGGGCUUCAAACGAUGCCCGUUCACCUUGAAUUCUUGUCCCGUUUUCAAGCUUUGAAUUUGGACUGCACCAUGAACAAAAACAUUAGUAAUAACAAACGGUCCAAUCCACUUAGAACGUAACUUACCGGGAAACAAACGUAAACGGGAAUUGAACAAUAGCACUUUCUGCCCAAUUGAGAAUGAUUUCCCACGGAUCAUGUUGUCAUGGAAAGCUUUGGUCUUUUGCUUGUAAAUGCUUGCAUUAUCGUAUGCCUCGUGCCGUAUCUCAUCAAGCUCAUUCAAUUGCAAUCUCCUUUGACUUCCCGCUUCAUCGAGGUUCAUGUUAAACUUCUUGAUGGCCCAAAGUGCUUUGUGCUCCAAUUCAACGGGGAAAUGGCACGCCUUGCCAUAGACAAGUCGGAAAGGGGACAUCCCAAUGGGGGUUUUGUACGCCGUACGAUACGCCCAAAGUGCAUCAUCUAAUCGUAAGCUCCAAUCCUUCCUUGUUGGCCCAACUGUCUUCUCAAGUAUUUGCUUGAUCUCUCGGUUGGAAACCUCGGCUUGGCCAUUCGUUUGAGGAUGGUAAGGUGUAGAAACCUUAUGGGUGACACUGUAUUUCCUCAAUAACGCUUCAAUGGUCCGAUUGCAAAAAUGUGACCCUCCAUCACUAAUGAUCACUCGUGGCAUUCCAAACCUUGCAAAAAUGUUAGUUCUAAUAAAAUCUGCAACCACUUUAGAAUCAUUAGUCCGGGUGGCCUUGGCUUCCACCCAUUUCGACACAUAAUCAACCGCAAGCAAAAUAUACAUGAAACCAUACGAUGAAGGGAAGGGACCCAUAAAAUCAAUACCCCAAACAUAAAAAAUUUCAACAUUUAGGAUAGAAACCUGCGGCAUUUGGUCCCUUGCACUAAUACCACCCAUUCGUUGGCAUUUAUCACACGUUAAGCAAAAAGUUUUAGCAUCUUUAAAAAUACUAGGCCAAUAGAAUCCACAUUGUAACACCUUGAGGGCUGUGCGUUGUGUGCCAAAGUGCCCUCCACAUGCAUAUGUGUGACAAAAACUCAAAAUUGAAUGACAUUCAGAAUCAUGCACACAACGACGUAUAAUCUGAUCGGGGCAAAAUUUCCAUAAGUACGGAUCAUCCCACACAAAAAACCGUGCAUCAUGCCUAAGUUUAUCACGUUGGUGCCUAGUGAACUCACUUGGAAUACGUUUUGACACCAAAAAAUUAACAAUAUUGGCAUACCAAGGUGCACUAACCUUUAGGGACAUCAAUUGCUCAUCCGGGAAUGUCUCUGGAAUAGGUAUGACAUCUUCUUCAUGCACCAAACGGCUCAAGUGAUCAGCCACAACGUUCUCACUUCCUUUCUUGUCUCGGAUUUCGAUAUCGAACUCUUGGAGAAGAAGCAUCCAUCGAAUAAGCCUUGGUUUAGCCUCCUUCUUCGUGAGCAAGUACUUCAAUGCUGCAUGAUCAGUGUAAAUUAUUACUUUAGUACCAAGUAAAUAAGAACGAAACUUAUCUAAAGCAAAAACAACGGCAAGGAGUUCUUUUUCCGUUGUGGAGUAGUUCAAUUGAGCAUCGUUCAAGGUCCGAGAGGCAUAAUAUAUGACGUGUGGCUGUUUGUCCUUCCUUUGUCCCAAAACAGCGCCUAGAGCAUAAUCGGAUGCAUCGCACAUAAGCUCGAAGGGAAUGCUCCAAUCUGGUGGCCGAAUGAUGGGGGCCGAAGUUAGCAUCUCUUUGAGGUGUUUGAACGCCUUUUCACAUUCCUCGUUGAAGUCGAAGGUCACAUCCUUUUGGAGAAGUCAGCAUAGGGGUGUGGAAAUCUUUGAAAAGUCCUUGAUGAAUCGCCUAUAAAAUCCUGCAUGUCCCAAAAACGAACGAACCUCUCUAACCGAAGUCGGAGAGGGUAAGUAGCGUACAAGAUCUAUUUUCGAUUUAUCAACCUCAAUUCCCCUUGCAGAAACAAUAUGCCCUAAAACUAUGCCUUGUUUUACCAUAAAGUGACACUUUUCCCAAUUUAAAAACAAGGUUAGUUUCCAUGCAUCGUUUUAAGAUUAAUGUGAGAUUUGCUAAGCAACCAUCAAACGAAUCGCCAAAGACACUAAAAUCAUCCAUGAAUACCUCAAUAAUCUUCUCAAUAAAAUCGGAAAAGAUACUUACCAUGCAUCUUUGGAAUGUGGCCGGUGCAUUGCAUAAACCGAAUGGCAUGCGGCGGUAAGCAAAAGUACCAAAUGGGCACGUGAAGGUGGUCUUUUCUUGGUCUUCCGGAGCUAUGACAAUUUGAUUAUAUCCCGAAUAACCGUCAAGAAAACAAUAAAAAGAAUGACCAGCUAACCUUUCUAGCAUUUGAUCGAUGAAUGGUAGUGGAAAGUGGUCCUUCCUUGUGGUGUUGUUGAGCUUCCUAUAGUCAAUGCAUACUUUCCAACCUGUUUGAAUACGGGUUGGCACAAGCUCAUCCUCGGCAUUCUUCACCACAGUGACUCCGGACUUCUUUGGGACAACUUGAACCGGUGAGACCCAACGGCUAUCCGAGAUUGGAUAGAUCACUCCACAGUCGAGAAGCUUUAUAAUCUCCUUUUUCACGACUUCCAUCAUCGGAGGGUUGAGCCGGCGUUGAGCCUCUCGAGUUGGUUUAGCCCCCUCCUCUAGAAAUAUGCGAUGCAUGCAUGUUGUAGGGCUAAUUCCCUUAAUAUCGGCCAAUGUCCAUCCGAUGGCUGUUUUGUGCUCUUUCAACACCCGAAUCAACUUUUCUUCCUCUAAUGCCGUGAGUGAUGAAGAGACGAUGAUGGGCAACGUCUCUUCCUCUCCCAAGAAUGCAUACUUUAAAUGGUCUGGCAACGGUUUAAGCUCAAGAACGGAGGCCUGAAUCACAGAAGGUAACAACGUAUUAGUGGAAACGGGAAUUGGAAUUGGGUUAGAAAGCUUACCAUGAUGUUUUGGCAAUGAUUCCAAGGCAGCCACAAGCUCGGCAUGUUCAUCCUUUGGUACGGCCAUGUUGGGUUCUGUGCCAAGUCCUUGUGCAAUUGUCGUUUCGAGUGGAUCGUCCUCCAACAUAUCAAGAUAAUCCUGCGCCAAUUCAUCCAAUAUAUCAAUAGAAAAACAAGAAUGAUCAUCUUUAGGAAAUUUCAUAGCUUCAGAAAUGUUAAAGUUAAUAAUCUCCCCAUCAAAUUCCAUUGUCAACGUCCCUUUGAACACAUCGAUCUUGGUGCGUGCUGUUUUCAUGAAAGGCCUCCCAAGUAGAAUCGGCAAUGGGGUGACAUUUGGUGAGUCCUCCAUCUCUAAAACGUAGAAAUCCGCUGGAAAUAUCAAGUUAUCCACCUGCACCAACACAUCUUCCAAAACUCCUUUCGGAUAUGCAUUAGAACGAUCGGCUAAUUGAAUUAUAACACCAUCGUUUUUAAGCUCUCCUAAGUUCAUGGAUGCAUAUUGAGUAUGGCAUGACAUUAAUUGAAGCUCCUAGAUCUAACAUAGCAUGUUCAAAUUUAGUAUUGCCUAUAACACAUGGAAUUGUAAAACUUCCCGGAUCUUUGCAUUUAGGAGGUAAUUUUCUGCAAAACAGCGGAAACAUUCUCACUUACCUGGACAACCUCUUUGUUUGAAAUUCUCUUUCUUGUUGUACAUAGUUCCUUCAAAAACUUGGCGUACCUAGGUACUUGCUUAAUUGCGUCAAGGAGAGGUAUAUUGACUUGCACUUUCCGGAACGUCUCUAGAAUGUCCUUUUCAGCUUCUUCUUUCUUUGUUUGCUUGAACCUACUAGGAAAGGGGACAUUCAAAGGAAAAUCAUUAGUAGGACUGGAAUUGGACACGGUUGUACCUUUAUUUGGCAGAUUGGAUGGCUUAGGAGCCAUGGAGACUUGCGGCAAAGGAACAUCUUUCCUUGCCGUGGCCAACCCUUGUUCCUCCUCUUCAAUUAUCACUUCCUCCACCUUGUUUGGGGCUGAUUUGGAUGGUGGUGGGGUUGUUCCUACUUGUUUCCCACUUCUUAACAUGAUUGCCUUGGCGGAUUCAAAGCUUCCUUUCGGAUUUGCAAUGGUUGAGCUAGGCAAUCUUCCUUGCUCUCGAAACUGCCCCAUGAACUUGGCAAUUUGCCCUACUUGUUUCUCCAACUCGUCCACCUUUUUGUCCCUAUUUUGCAUUCCCUGCGCCAUAGAAGUUAGUAAAUUAAAAAUUUGAUCAUUAUCAAUAGACGAACCUGAUUUUUGGAUGGGUUGUGCUUGGGGUUGAGUUGGUGCAAAUGGCUUUUGAUAGAAACCUGGGGGUUGUUGCCUAAAUGUGCUUUGUUGUUGGCCUUGUUGGGGUUCUCGCCAUUUGAAAUUUGGAUGAUCACGCCAACCGGGAUUGUAGGUGUUAGAAAAGGGAUCAUUCCUUUGUUGGUAUUGCUGCCCAAAACCCACGGCAUUGAGGGUCUCCCACCCUCCGUUCUCAAUCAGUUGUGGGCAUUUGUCCGUAGGGUGUCCUUGCAUGGAACAUACGCCACACGCACUUACAUUUUGAACUUUUGGCCCUUCCACAACCUGAGAAAGCAAAGUAGUAAGGUUAGCCAUUUGAUUUUGAAGUUCGGUUAUGGCACUUACCUCAUUCACUUGGUGUUGCCGUGUGGUGCCUCUUUGUCCAACACCUUCGUAUUGUUGAGCGUUCAACGCUCGAUUGGCAAUCAAAGUCUUUGCUGACGUAGGGGUCUUGUCCACCAAUGCUCCUCCCGCCGAGGCAUCUAGCAUUUGUCGUUCGAUUGGUAGAAGUCCCUCGUAGAAGUAUUGCAGAAGAAGCUCCUCUUUCAUUUGAUGCUGUGGACAAGAAGCAACAAGAGAUUAAAACGUUCAUAGUAUGUAGGAAAAGACUCACCUUCUUCUUGUUGAAUUCCACUUAUCCUUUUUCGUAGGAGAAUGACUCGAGAGGUUGGAAAAAACUUCUCUAAGAAAGCCCGUUUCAUGCUCUCCCAAGAUGUGACCGUUCCGGGAGCUAAUUCAUAUAACCAAUCUUUCGCCUUUUCCAUAAGAGAAAAGGGAAAAGCCUUCAUCUUCAAUAUACUCCCGUCCACGUUUACCGGAGUCAUGCUUGAGCAAACGACUUCAAACUCCUUCAAGUGCUUGUUUGGAUCUUCCAUGGACAGCCCAUGGUACUUCGGAAUGUGAUGUAACAAGCUUGACUUCAAUUCGAACUCGGCAGUUUUGUCCUGUGCCGCCCUAGGGUACUGGAUACAUAGAGGUGCGGCAUUAUCCAAUCCCGAAGCGGAAAGCUCCUUGAUCGUUUUGUUGUCCGCUGCCAUGUCUUCCACUUCCUCUUCAACUUCAAAAACGGACUCGGAACUUGCACUUGAUUCACUAGGUUCCGGGUUCUUCCUCUUUCGUCUCAACUCACGCUCAAAAUCGUCGUCAAAGUCUAAAAUAUGUUCUUGAACCGGAUUAGAACUCCGAGUCAUAAACAAGUACCUAAAACAAGAAACAAAAUAACAUAAGAAUCUGAUCUAAUAAGAAAAACGAAAAUAACAAUCCAAGGGAUUAGCAAAGUUGCUAAUCCCCGGCAACGGCGCCAAAAUUUGGUGUGAAAAUUAGGUUGACACUCAAAUUAACCCUCUUUUUAUCAAUUGUAGCAAAGUAUGUAAGUAGGGAUCGUUCUAAACCGGGGAUUAGGAGGGAUUGCAAAAUCACUUGAAAACUGACUCAAAUAUGUAAAAACAAGUUUAAAACACUAAACUAGACUCAAAGAAUGCAAAACUAAACUUUAAAACACCAAAACAAACCAAAAGACUCAAAACAGCACCAAAACACUCAAAACUGCCUUAAAAACACAAUCUGGGCAGUUUUGGACACUAAGCACCAAAUUGGACGAAUUUGGGUUUUAACUUGAAUCAAAACACUUAAAAACACAAAGUAAAACACUUACUAACUAAUUUGACACUUUAAAACAAAGGGGGAUUGGUUUUGGACGAAUUUAAAAACAAAACAAACUUUGUAAAUUAGAACAGAUUGUAAAAACGAAUUUGAUUUAAAUGGGUGAAUGGAAGGCUAGCUAAGGGGUUCAUCUCCACACAUGUUAUACUUGCAUACAAAACGAUUUCCAAUUGCUUUUCAAUAAACCAUGAAUUCUCAAUGCCCCAAGUUAAUUAGGUUCCUCUUAAAUUAACCUUCAGAUUUUCCUAACGUUAUUGAAUUGGAUGAUUGCAUACGACAACCCAAAACAUUCCCCACAAGUCCCUACAUGAUUGCAUAAUAGAGAUACAAGCAAGAAUCAUUAAGUUCUAUGAAAACCAUAAGCAUUGACGAAGCACUUGUUACUAUGAUUGCAUGAAACUUAUGCCAAGAAUUUACUUAACGUGAUUGAGAUCAUCAACCUUUACUACCUUGUGAAUAUAAUUCCAUAACGAUUAGGUGAAAUUUCCUUAUAUCCUAGCAUUCAAUUUAUGCAUGAUAAUUAAGCGUGCACUCUCAACCAACACACACAAAUCAAUGUAAUUCCACAUAGAUAAGUAAAUUGAAUUCACAACUUAUGAAACGCAAUUAGAAGUAAUCAAAUCAUAACGCAAGCAUAAACAUGUAUUUCGAAUCCCCCCCUAGCCAAGGGGGGUUUAGUUCCUCAUAUGCACAAAACAAAGAGAAUUGAAUUUAAACAUUGAAAUCAAAGGAAAAGAAACACCUAGAAAUUCCAGCGACGCGAACUUGAAUUGCAUGAACUUCCGAGCUUCCUUCUCCUCCUCCUUGGUGCGGCAAAGGGUCUAGGGACUAGUUUAGGACCUUAGGUGUAUGGAUGCAUGGUUAUGGAUGGAUGUAGUAGUGUUUAGGGGAAGAGAAUGGUGCGGCAAAGGUGUGGAGAGAGCUUGGACGAAUUUCUGGAGUGAAUUCUGAAUUAUGGUGAGUGGUGAUCUGAUUUAGGGGUUAAUAGGAGUAUAUAUAGGCACUUAAAACCCUAGGGUAAUCAGAUAUGGACUUGGAUAACCCAAAUCCACAAGGAAAUAGGUCUAAACAAUCAGAUUUUGCAAGGGAAAAGGGGUCCUAGGUGCGGCUGGAUAGGGAUAAGGUGGAUAAGGCUUCUAGAUGGCCUUGCAAGGCAAGGAAAUUAGGUUUCUAGAAGGGAUAGGUGCGGCACUUAAAGGAUAGGGCAGAUUAGGGCUUCUAGAAACCCUCUAAUGCAAGGAAAACUCACGACAAGGAUGGAUAAGGUUUCUAGAACAAGGAUAAGGUAUCCUAAAUGGAUAAGGACUCCUCAUUGCACUUGGAAACUUUGGCUAUUAGGAUUAGGAAACCUUGUCCUUGUCAUUCCUUCUUCAUUCUGGAUUCCUUUUCCUUCUUGGACUUGGAAAUCUUCUUUGUAGCUGCAACUUGAUGCCAUUUGGAUUUAACUUUCCUACUUCAAGUAGGAAACCUUGUUUGAGUAGGAAUCUUCAUCUUUCAGGGAAUCUUAAUUCAACUAGGAAACCCAUUUUGACUAGGAAUCCUAAUUCAACUAGGAUUCCAUCUUCACUUAGGCGCUUUCCUACUUAAACUAGGAAACCUUGUUCAAGUAGGAAACAUCAUCUUCAAAUCUUCAAUUUCGUCCAUCCUCUUGGCUCCAAGCAUAUGACAUCCAUUCCAAGCUCAACUUUGCUCCAAAAAGCUCCAAAAUGCAUCCUUUUUCAUAUUUUGCCCUUAGAACCUGAAAACACAUAAAACUAGCUUAAAAGACUACUUUACUAAGCAAAAACACUAUAAAUGC
Molecule: long non-coding RNA, 10707 nt
Filed under: Malus domestica (apple)
Lineage: Eukaryota; Viridiplantae; Streptophyta; Magnoliopsida; Rosales; Rosaceae
Description: long non-coding RNA (MDOM_LNC015571)
Source: RNAcentral